UACAGAGGUGGCAAGCGUUGUUCGGAAUUACUGGGCGUAAAGAGCGUGUAGGCGGCCUGAUAAGUCGGCUGUGAAAGUCAAGGGCUCAACCCUUGAAUGCCGGCCGAUACUGUCAGGCUAGAAUCCGGAAGAGGCGAGUGGAAUUCCUGGUGUAGCGGUGAAAUGCGCAGAUAUCAGGAGGAACACCUAUGGCGAAGGCAGCUCGCUGGGACGGUAUUGACGCUGAGACGCGAAAGCGUGGGGAGCGAACAGG
This 253-nucleotide ribosomal RNA is filed under the name uncultured bacterium. RNAcentral describes it as "partial 16S ribosomal RNA". It matches the Rfam family "Bacterial small subunit ribosomal RNA", at positions 524 to 776 of the family's 1533-position model. The record is from RNAcentral.